AGAAAAAGUUUCUUCAAAUGAUCAGCAGUAUGACGAUAAUAAUAUUACACUGAAACUAGUCGAAAGUAAUGAUCCAUCUCAAAAAGAUUCAUCAAAAGCAAUAAUACUCAAUGAUUCUGAUAUUGUAGAUAUGGUAUUUUCAGAUGAAACUGAUUACGAUACUGAAAAUAACAGGAUAACAAAAUAUGCCUUUAAAGAGCAACCUAGUAAUUUAAAUUUAAAUAAGAAAGUUGUAGAAGAUGAACAUUCUAAUAAAUUAUCAACAAAAGGUAAAAGAUCAAAUAGUUUUUAGUUUAGCUAUUUAAUAUUAUUUACAUUAAAUAUUACAAUACUAUCUUUAGAUCCAGCAGUUGCUUCAAUAAAUAUUCAGAAAAAUUCUAUCGGUAUUGUUGAUAUCAAAAGUAUUGAAUUUGCUGAACCAGAAUGCAGUACACGAGGACGUCCCAAAAAUUCAAAAACUACAAAGCCCUCUGGAGCUCCACUUUUACCAACACUUUGCGAAUUUGAAAAAAAAGAUUUAAAUGCCAAAGCAUUAUUAAUUUUACAGUUACUGACAAAUGAUGCAAAUAUAACUGUAAACAUAAGAGAGAAAUCAUACGAUAUCUGCUUAGAAGAUUUUAAGAAUAUUAUAAAAGAUAAUGUUCCAGAUAUUUUUAUGGAUGAAAGUACCGAUGAAGUAAUUGAACACCUUCAAAAAUAUUGGAAGAAUGAUGGAUAUAAAAUAACUACUUACUUAAAAAAACAAAUUACAAUUAAAAGAAAAAAAGACAUUUACACAUGUCCAACAUGCAACAAAGAAGCAGAUGAGGGAACAGGUCAAUGUAGUUCUUGCUUAACAUGGUAUCAUUUGGAUACGUGUGUAAUCCAAAACAUGAUGCCAUUUCCAACUAAUAAAAAAAA
This is a long non-coding RNA of Nasonia vitripennis (jewel wasp), 900 nucleotides long. RefSeq lists it as uncharacterized. The transcript has 2 exons. The record is from RefSeq and is a predicted model, not a curated record. NCBI's taxonomy places the organism in Eukaryota, Metazoa, Arthropoda, Insecta, Hymenoptera, Pteromalidae.